Molecule: long non-coding RNA, 544 nt
Filed under: Monodelphis domestica (gray short-tailed opossum)
Lineage: Eukaryota; Metazoa; Chordata; Mammalia; Didelphimorphia; Didelphidae
Description: lncRNA (ENSMODG00000032424.2)
Source: RNAcentral
CCACUCUUCUCCUGUCAUUAUGUGCUGAUGUAGGCAGGCUAUAAAUUCUAUGUAGUUCCACCUCUCGCCCUCUUCUCUUCCUGUGGUGGCAGCUGUGGACAUGGGGUUUGGGAGCAGAUAGAAAAGCUUAGGCACAUGGUUUUAUUUUGUUAGAUAAUUACUUUUUUAUUCCUUUACUUCAAAUGUGGGAUUUGGGGGAAGGAAUUGUCAUGGGCUUUCAUCUGGCUGUUCAGUGACCUAGGAGAUAAAGAGCUGGGGCCUGAGUUGAAAUCCAAUCCCAGAUACUUACCAGCCACUCCAAACUUCAGACUCCACCACCCUGAUCAGUCAGCACCCAACAGCAAAGAGGCAAGAUCCAACACCAGCAAAAAGAUUAAGAUUUGCUGAAUGUUCAGAAUACGAUCCUGAUCAGAGCUCCAGGCUCCAAGAAGAGACAAGCAGCAGCAGAGUUAAAAAUGUCCUGUCUUUCCACACCACAUCUUCCUACACUGAUGGGGCAGCUUACAUGAUGAGUCUGUCUUCCCUGAGGACUCACAGGACUUAA